This 422-nucleotide ribosomal RNA is filed under the name uncultured archaeon. RNAcentral's name for it is "bacterial SSU rRNA". It matches the Rfam family "Archaeal small subunit ribosomal RNA", at positions 458 to 880 of the family's 1478-position model. The record is from RNAcentral.
UCAGCCGCCGCGGUAAAACCAGCACCUCGAGUGGUCAGGAGGUUUAUUGGGCCUAAAGCAUCCGUAGCCGGUUGUUUAAGUUUUCGGUUAAAUCUAUGCGCUUAACGUAUAGGCUGCCGAAAAUACUGGACAGCUAGGGAGUGGGAGAGGUAAACGGUACUCAAUAGGAAGGGGUAAAAUCCUUUGAUCUGUUGAUGACCACCUGUGGCGAAGGCGGUGCACCAGAACACGUUCGACGGUGAGGGAUGAAAGCUGGGGGAGCAAACCGGAUUAGAUACCCGGGUAGUCCCAGCUGUAAACGAUGCAAACUCGGUGAUGCAUUGGCUUGUGGCCAAUGCAGUGCCGCAGGGAAGCCGUUAAGUUUGCCGCCUGGGAAGUACGUACGCAAGUAAGAAACUUAAAGGAAUUGGCGGGGGAGCACA